AAUACAUCAGACUUCCAAAACUAAUCUGAUUCAUCAGAAUAUCCAGUGGGAUAUCAAGUGAAAAAUCUGGUUUACUGGGCAUCUUUUAUCUUCUACAUGGUGUACCCUCAUUAGUACACUGGUGACCUGGGUAGCUUAUCUGGUAUUUCUGUUUUCAAGGACAAAGCUUCAGGGUGGCUAAAUUUGAAAAAGAGAGAAAAAGACCUGAUUGAUUUAUUCUUCUCAAAACUGGUAGAAGCAUAAGGUACUAAGGUGCUCCUGACACUUGCUAAUGUUUCCCUACGACUCCCAGCUAAACUUUUCCCACCUGUUGCCUUGUCACAACAAAAUACCUGUGGACUAUGCACAUUAAAGACCAAGCCUGCCUCUGGCAUUAACAGCACAGAAGACAGCAAGCUGAGCCCCUGAGGUGCCUCCAAGAUGCAGCUGCCAAUUUGCAGAAUUGUCUUGAUAGCUAUUGUGACGAAUAAUGGAAAACUAUGAAGAUACACCUGUGAUGCCAUCAGAAAGAAGACAAUGAGCACAAAGAGUCUCACGUACAUAAAGUACAUCAAGUGCAUCAAGUACAGCUUGGCAGAAUGAGCAGAAUUAAGUGAUACUAGGGCACAAACAGCCUUGACAUGCAUUCAAAGGGAAUAAUUGUACUUAGAUUGGUUUCUGAACAGUUCUCUGGAAUGAAAUGUUGAAUGAAAGUGUUGGGGUGUAACUGUAGUCUGUGGAUUAUUAAAUAAAGAUUGUCAAAGAGUUGUGUAGCA
Molecule: long non-coding RNA, 755 nt
Filed under: Parus major (Great Tit)
Lineage: Eukaryota; Metazoa; Chordata; Aves; Passeriformes; Paridae
Description: lncRNA (ENSPMJG00000015840.1)
Source: RNAcentral